RNAcentral lists this ribosomal RNA (429 nucleotides) under Gemmatimonadota bacterium. Its description in RNAcentral is "Gemmatimonadetes bacterium partial 16S ribosomal RNA". It matches the Rfam family "Bacterial small subunit ribosomal RNA", at positions 355 to 776 of the family's 1533-position model. The record is from RNAcentral. Lineage: Bacteria; Pseudomonadati; Gemmatimonadota.
UAGGGAAUCUUCGGCAAUGGACGAAAGUCUGACCGAGCAACGCCGCGUGAGUGAAGAAGGUUUUCGGAUCGUAAAACUCUGUUGUUAGAGAAGAACAAGGACGUUAGUAACUGAACGUCCCCUGACGGUAUCUAACCAGAAAGCCACGGCUAACUACGUGCCAGCAGCCGCGGUAAUACGUAGGUGGCAAGCGUUGUCCGGAUUUAUUGGGCGUAAAGCGAGCGCAGGCGGUUUCUUAAGUCUGAUGUGAAAGCCCCCGGCUCAACCGGGGAGGGUCAUUGGAAACUGGGAGGCUUGAGUGCGGAAGAGGAGAGUGGAAUUCCAUGUGUAGCGGUGAAAUGCGUAGAUAUAUGGAGGAACACCAGUGGCGAAGGCGGCUCUCUGGUCUGUAACUGACGCUGAGGCUCGAAAGCGUGGGGAGCAAACAGG